GCAAACUUGGUCAUUUAGAGGAAGUAAAAGUCGUAACAAGGUAACCGUAGGUGAACCUGCGGUUGGAUCAUUAAUUAAUUCUUAGUCUCUGGAUGUGUUUUUUUUAAUCUCCUCCAUGAUGACUAUUUAACACCUGUGCACUUUAUGUAUCUUGGGUAUCUUCUUACAUUUGAUGCCCAAAAAUUGAUAAAAACCCCUAUUGAUUUAUGUCUGAAAAAAAAAAAAGUAUAUUUAAACAACUUUUGACAACGGAUCUCUAGGCUCUCGCAUCGAUGAAGAACGCAGC
This 286-nucleotide unclassified non-coding RNA is filed under the name uncultured fungus. RNAcentral describes it as "partial contains small subunit ribosomal RNA, internal transcribed spacer 1, and 5.8S ribosomal RNA". The stretch from base 1 to 73 matches the Rfam family "Eukaryotic small subunit ribosomal RNA", at positions 1759 to 1831 of the family's 1831-position model. Lineage: Eukaryota; Fungi. The record is from RNAcentral.